Long non-coding RNA from Rhododendron vialii, 3730 nucleotides. RefSeq lists it as uncharacterized. NCBI's taxonomy places the organism in Eukaryota, Viridiplantae, Streptophyta, Magnoliopsida, Ericales, Ericaceae. The transcript is spliced from 10 exons. The record is from RefSeq and is a predicted model, not a curated record.
GUCAAUUAUGUUAUGAGCUUGCUAUUACGUUCUUGUAGUUAGCAGCCUGGAAUGUUUAGCUAUAUGUCUAAGUUUGCACAGUUCCUUUUAUAGAUGACAAUGGAAAGGAUGUGCUUUGCUAGCUUGUAUAUGUAUUCAAUUUCUUGUGAUUUCAAUAUUUUGAGGUAUGUCAUUUAGAGACUCUACCAAGUUAUGAUCGUACCCUUCCUUUGUAUCUUAAUCUAUGCAGAGAGCGUGAGAGAGUUGGGUUUUUGGGUAGUUCUUCUGGAGAAAUGCUUUAAACUCUUAACGGCUUUGGCAAAGUUGAGAAACUUGAAAUACUGGCAUUGUCCUUUCUUCUAUUUUUUAGAUGCUCGAGAGUCGAGAUGGGAAAGAAUGUAAUAAGAGGCCAUUUGGGCAGGGUUAUUUUCUGACAUCUCUUUGGUCUUCUAUAAAUCUUUUGUAAUGAAUGCAUCUUGAGUUUUGUGGUAGUUGGCACUUGAUAAGAAAUCUAUUGUAGUCCAUUGUUUUGAUGUUCCUGCUAUUCUGCACUUCGUUGCUUGAAAUCUUGAUGAAUGUAGAAAAUGUAUUGAAGCAUUUCUACGCAACGGUAUUAACUUAUUUGAACUACAUCCGUCCCAAGCAAAUAGACAAAUAAAGUAAUAGCAAUAUCUUUUAUUGUGGUUACUACCAUUCUAAUGUACCAUUGAGAUGCCUCGUUUAGGAUAUGAAUCUACAGACUGGUUGUUUGUUCUUCUACAUCUAUUAUCGUUUCUUUGUCUUGGUUUAUUUCGUUAAAAAGCUGGUCAUUGCCACUGUGGUUCUGAUGAUUGGACAGGGCCUAUUGAAAAAGAGCUUAGAAUCAACAAAAAUUUUGGAAUACCUUAACUUUUGUCGAAGUGGUUACGCUUUAGCGAGCUCGGUAUAAUAUGUUUUUCUUUUCCAGUUAUUUAUGCAGCCGAUUCUGAUGUCUAAGAAAGAAUUGUCUAUGUAAAACUUUGUUUUCCUAGGUUGUUUCAGAUAUCUUGGAUAUGAUAGCAUUUAGGAAAUUGCAGACCUUACCUAUCUACAUGGGUUCUUUUGUUAUGCAGAUGCCCUUGGAGCAUCGCUUUCUAAUCAUUUGGAUAAAACUCGUUUCUAUAUUGGGUGCAUGAAAUCUGGCGAAGUUUUCUCUGAACAGUGAGUCUUGUUUACUUUCAAUUCUCUUGUUUUGUGAAUUAGAAAAUUGGCAUGGUGUUUUCCCAUUUGUUUUCUGAGCAUUUCCUAAUUUCUUCGGGACCCAUCAAUGGUAUGAGUCAGAGUGGUGCAAAUUCGGAGAUAAAAAAUCGCUAGUAUUGCUAUAUAUAAUUUUUGCUUCAAGUUUCGUGGACUGUAAUUCGUCGGUGAGUUAUAAGUAAUAACAUUUCUUAUGAGAAUCAACCUUUUGCAGUUUGCUCAAGUCCUAAAUAGAUAAUCACUCUCUUCUUACAUGAAAGAUAGUUGGAAAAAAGGCGUAGAAGAAAGAGGAGAAAGGGUUGCUAAAUUAGAUGAUAAUGUCCUUCAAACCUAGUAAACAUUUAAUUCCUGGAAGUUUUCCAGUUAUACUAUUCCCUCUUCCCAACAUCACGGUUAAGGAUCACAUUUUCUCAUGAGUCACAAUGAUGUAACACGCAGCUAAUAUGAUUGAAUUCGAGAAGAUCCUUGUAUUUACAAGGCUUAAGUCCUGCCUGCAUAUCUUUACACUUGUGUACCAAAGUAACUUUCUUGUAUGCAUAGAUACUUUCGCCAUGCUUCUGGAGAGCUAUAUGCCAUGUCACAAGCUCUGGCUCAAUUUAUUGCAAUAAAUAGGUGAUUGUUUUCUUAUUUUCUUUUGAUUUUCCACUCAACAUUCAUCAUGGUUCAACUCAGUUGGAUUUCCUUUUGCAGAUCAAUUCUCCGCACAUAUGCACAUGAUGAUGUCAGUACAUGAAACAAAGUUUUGCUAUUCUUCCUGGUCAUCGGCUCCCUCUCUAACCAAAAAAAAAAAAAACUUAAAAUUGAUAUCAAUGGAGAGUUGGGAUUUACAUGUUUGAAAUCUUUGGCCUCCAUAUUUUCAAAUUUGUAUACACAUGUUUUGGGUUCUUAGGUGUGGUUUAUCACUGUCUCACCUGUUUCCCAUGUGGUGAUCAUCGAUCGGAACGAUCAAACUUGUCCAUCUUCCAAUGAUCAAUGCUUGUGUCGGCGCUUGUCGCACUUCAUCUACGGAAUCUGCUCUGCGUCGCCAUUGUUUCUGUUCUCGGUCGCUAUGUAUUGAUAAUCAAAUAACCGCAGGGGACACCAUGAACUGAAGUCGGUGCGAGUAACCUCGACCAAGACGGCCUAUCUGCAGUUUGCGGAGAUGGAGAGGCUUCAUGCUCAUAAAAUACAGCAACUCCAGCUUGAACUGGCAGAUGCAAGAGAGAGGAGUGGAACUUACCCUGACAAAACACAUAUAUCCCAAACGAACUCUAAAGAUUUUUCUCAGUUUUGAUAGAACAAUGGAAACCAACUGGAUGUCAAUGGAAGUAUCAUGGCAAGCACAAUUUCUAGGGGUUUUGCAGCUGGAAAUUCUGAAAAUGUUUCAUCCUUUGUCUCAACUGGCAAUGCUUCAAUGCCAAUCAAAAAAAAAAAAAAAAACUGGCGAUGCUUCAACUGAGGUCAACCAUGUUCAUGGUGUUGUAAUUUCCCCAACAUCCCUGCUUGCGAUGCCUACCUACCUUCCACCUGGACAGGUAACUGCUCUGCAUCCAUUUGUAAUGCAUCAAUGAGGAGUUCCCCACUCUGUGCCAUAACAUGUUGCUCAAUCUCAUGUUGGCCAUUUUCACUUGGUACCCCUUUAUUAUUGGUAGAACUGACAGGCUUCAUCAGAUGGUUCAACUCACAACCAGUAUCCUCUUUCCCAAACUAAUCAGAGCUUGUUGCGAUCAGAUACUAAUUAUGACCAUGAAGUUUCUGCAAAUGGGCAAGCUAUUCAUUUAGAGUGUUUGGAUAUUCAUUCCAGCCAGGGAAUGGGGCCUGAUACAGUGAUCAGACCGACAGCUGAGGAAGGACAGGUCGAUAAAAGUUACCUGGUAGCCCGCAACCCCAACAGAGCUUGCAACAUAUUUCUUCCCAGUUCCAUGAUGCUUUAAGAUUAGACACUCUUUCACAAAAUAGUGAAACUAAGGAGAAGAGCAUUACCAUUUCCACUUCCACUUAUCAUGGACUUGAGGGUCAAGGGUUCACUACAGAACAAGAAGGCUCUGCCAACACGCCAUUGUCUAGCACUUUAAUCAAUCAUGUGGAUUUAAGCGAAGUGACAAUGAAUAAUCCCACUGGUGGAAUUUUAUCUGAAGCAUUUGUCUCAUCUGGCCGAAAAAUAUACCUACAAUUGGUACAGCAUCGGAGAUUGUUCUUCUUGACGAAAGAUUGUUAUUGGCUUGCGUUGUUCGAACAAUACCACCUGGAUCUGGUUGUAGAAUCAGGAUUAACUCUACAGCUUGGCAAAAUGCUUGCAGCUCUUCAUUGGCAUGAUUACAAGAAAAAGUAUGGAAAACUUGAUGACUUUGUGGCUAGUCAUCCUGAAUUGACUGUUUGGGAUUUUGAAAUAAUCAAAAGGAUCCCUUUUGGCUGCGAUGUUGGUUAGUUUCAAAUUAGAUGACGGUGUAAAUAUUACCUAAGAGCAGCCACUUUGUGCAUAUUGCCAAAUAUUAAGUUAGUGCAUGGGGCAUUGUAGUGGAUUCUAUGGCAUUGUCGUGACCUUUCGUUUGGACCU